Molecule: long non-coding RNA, 1732 nt
Filed under: Gossypium barbadense (sea-island cotton)
Lineage: Eukaryota; Viridiplantae; Streptophyta; Magnoliopsida; Malvales; Malvaceae
Description: long non-coding RNA (GBAR_LNC004472)
Source: RNAcentral
AUGUCCUUUUCACCUUUGUGGUAUCGAGGUAAGUUUGUAUGUAAACAAUACCAUGCUAUACAUGUAUUUAAAUGUUAUCAUUACAUGAAUUGUACAGAUAUUAAGUGUAUGUGAUUAAUAGAAAUAUGAUAAGAGAAAGCCUUAAUAGACGAGGAAAACUCCCGUUUGAACCUUAGGAAUAGAAUAGGAUACGAGUGACAUGUCACUAGAAAUUAUGAGUCUAGAUGAGUAGCUCGAGAGUGAGCAUUGAAAUGUCAUGAGAUAUGAGGUAGCUUUAGCUACAAUUGAGGCACUUAUGUGCAAAGGCUUUUCCGAGUAUCCAAUUAGUAUUCCAAGUGUUCAACGGGUAAUCCAAUGAAAGAGUUGAUGAUGGUCCCAAUGAGGUAAGUCAUUGGUGAGUAUACACUUGAGUUAUGUUACGAGUUGUGCAAGUAUGUAUAUUAAGCCUAUGAGAAUGCCUUGAUAUGUGAUGAUCUAUGAUGCAUAAUAUGUGUUCUUACCAUGAUGGAUGAAAUGAUGUUGUAUUAAUUUUGUGAACAAUGAUCAUGAAUGAGUAACUUAGCCUUGACAGAUUUGAGUUACUGCAGUAGUGUAACUUUGAAAAUACACUAAAAAUAGUGGAAAGUUAGUUAGUGGCAGAAUAAAAUAUGCAAUUAAAGCUUAAUGAGUCUAUUUUCACAUGAAAGAAACAGGGGAAGAAAAAGAAUUCUAUAUUGUGUGAUAUUUGAGUUCUUGUAAAAUAGGGUCUGAAUGAAUUCGAGAUCCCCUGUUCUAACUUUAUAAAUUCAUCAUAAAUUGUAAAAAAAUUAUUAAGAGUCAUACCUUACAUUCAUGGAUUCUUUUUUGAGUCUAUUUUUAAGAGCAACAAGCGGCAUGGUGAUUGGAAUUCUGUACAGGGAUAAAUUCAGUUCGUAGUGCACAAGGGUUAGAGUGGUCAUACCCUAAAAUAGGGGAGACUUUAACUAAUAAACUUUACUAAAUGGCUUGACCAAAAAUUCUAUAAAAAAAUUACUAAGUAUACAUAUGAGUAUAGUUUCAAGAUAAAUAGACGAGAACAUUAUUUGAAUCCUGUACUAUGAGAUAAUUGAGCUUGAGUGCAGAAGGGUUGAAACUGUCAGACAGUGAAUCAAGAGCAAACUUGAGGAAUAAACUGUACUAAUUGGCUAAGUCAAAAAUUCUGGAAAUUUUAUGAAAGAAAUAUAAAUGAGUCUAGUUUCAGGGAAAAUUAACGGAACUUAAUUUGGAGUUUCGUAGCUCCAGAUAUAAAUAAUUUAGUGACUAUUGCUCAGGAAGACAGCUUGCAGUGAACUUGAGAAUAUGUUGUAAACAUUGAUAAAACAAGUUAAUGAGUUGCUUAUAGUUUUCAUAUGAACUUACUAAUCAAAAGCUUACCCCCCUUCUUUCCCAUGUUUUCUAGAGUUUCCAGGUUAGCUCGGGUUGGAGGCCGUCAGAGAUAUUAUCACACUGUCGAGUUAACGCUAUCGGCGUAAGUAAACUCAAGUGAUUCUAGUCUAUGGCAUGUAUAGGGUUUUAAUGUGAGUAUGUAAUAUUAUGAUUUAGCCAAAGGCAUUGGCUUGUUAUUAAGGUAGUAUUAGUCAUGUAAAUUGGCCUAUGUCGGCUAAUAUCAUUAUGGGCCCAUAUGAUUAUUCUUAUGCAUGUGUGUUAUUAUCUCUUGUGAUGUGGCUUACAACAUGUAUGCCUAGAGAUUGAAUUGAGAUUCAUUGAUGAGCUA